GACGAACGCUGGCGGCGUGCUUAACACAUGCAAGUCGAACGGAAAGGCCCUGCUUUUUUGGGGUGCUCGAGUGGCGAACGGGUGAGUAACACGUGUGUAACCUGCUCUUGACUUUGGGAUAACUUCAGGAAACUGAGGCUAAUACCGGAUCGGAUCUCCUGCUGCAUGGUGGGGGUUGGAAAGUUUCGGCGGUUGGGGAUGGACUCGCGGCUUAUCAGCUUGUUGGUGGGGUAGUGGCUUACCAAGGCUUUGACGGGUAGCCGGCCUGAGAGGGUGACCGGCCACAUUGGGACUGAGAUACGGCGCAGACUCCUACGGGAGGCAGCAGUGGGGAAUAUUGCACAAUGGGCGGAAGCCUGAUGAAGAAACGCCGCGUGCGGGAUGACGGCCUUCGGGUUGUAAACCGCUUUCGCCUGUGACGAAGCGUGAGUGACGGUAAUGGGUAAAGAAGCACCGGCUAACUACGUG
This 468-nucleotide ribosomal RNA is filed under the name uncultured bacterium. RNAcentral's name for it is "partial 16S ribosomal RNA". It matches the Rfam family "Bacterial small subunit ribosomal RNA", at positions 28 to 507 of the family's 1533-position model. The record is from RNAcentral.